GGAGCUGUGUAACUGCUGGAAUUGCAUUGCCUUGCCAGCUCACUCAGGAGCGCCAGAGCUCCAUGUAGAGGCAUCAGGCUGUGUCCGCACUGUGAGCCAACAUCACAUCAGAGUCUGUGCCCAUUAAGCCAGAAUUCAUUUAUAUUGAACAUUGGCUUGCAUCUAAGCAGAUAUAGGCUUAGGCCAUGCUCUGUGAAGCACUCUGGAGCAGAGAAGUUUAAACCUUAGCACAGAACCAGUCUCAUUCAUUCAGCCUGCAAUUCGGUUGGUGAGGACAGGAAACGUGUGGGUGAACUUGGGGUAUGGAAAAGACAAACCCCAAGGAAAUUUCAGCUGGAUGCAAGCCUUUAAAAUUAGGAAUCUCUGUCUGGUUAGCACACACUGGAGAUGUUUAUCAUGUCCGAUGACCUGUUUUUCUGAGUGGACAACGUGCCCACGUAUAAUUAAGAUAUGGUGAAAGUUUAUUGUAUAAGUGUGCUGGAAUUUUGGUUUGGCUUUGCAAUAAAGGGAUCACUGAGUCACAGUUGCUUAACAGACCACAGAGGAUACAGGUCUCUGCUGCUGAGCUACCAUAAAUAUAAAGAAUUCAAAUUAAUUUAUUUCCCAGUCCAGGCAAAAGCGUCUAUGCUGUAAAUAAGGCUGUGGCUUGAUGACACAAAGCCUUUGCUGUGUGAUUGGCUCCUAGUUGCACCUUGUUCCUGCAAUGCAGCAUGCCACUCCUUAGCUGUGCCUGCAGCUCUAUGUGUGGCUGAAAUGGGAACUGGAUCAGGAUACCAAUCCAUCAGAAAAACAACCCAUGUGAAAAUGUGUAAAUAUAUUUUAAAUUUUAUAAACAUAUUUAAAAUAGACGCAUGUGUUCUUCAAGUUCCUUUAUCAUCUAGUUUAUAAUUCAAAGGCUAUGGAUGGAUUCUGUGCUUCCUUACAACUACAGGAGCAGGCCAAAGUGUAGCAACGAGGUUAAAUGUGAAACAGCCUGGUGAGGAAGGAUUUGUUCCUCAAACAACGGUUGAAUAUUGAGCCUGUAAAGCAUAACUGGAUUGCUUUACAGGAUUGUUGUGCAAGCAGUUAAUGUGUUGUGUGUGUUUGAAUAGCAUCUCAUACUGUUUGAGACAUACACAUUUUGCAUUAAAUACAGCUCAACAAUUGGGAUAGUUUUUCUGGUAGCACUCAAAUUAUAACCCAGGUUAACCAUACAUUGAAGAGAAGGUCAGUGUGAUGUCUCUUCCCUGGCACCUUUACAAACCCUGCUGUCUGUUGGUCUCCAUUCUCUAGUGCUAUUGAUUUCAGGACACCAAAGUUCUUCUGUGGAACUCAAGGAGUCUUUUUGCUGUUGUUCAUUUGAACUGUCCCAAGUGAGGCCAUGGCAGCAUGCUGCAGUCUUCCUGGAGGAGCAGGAGUCACAGGAAGUCUGUAGCACUACUCCUAGUGCACACAAAUUCCCUGCCGCCGUGGUUUGGAAGCAGCAGGAAGUGAAAGUUCCUGCUAUGCACAGCGAAGACUGUUGCAAGAAGGUCUCCCUCCUAACAUGAAGGAGAGAGAGUUCACUGCCUCACACUAUGCAUUUGCCAGAUAUUUGCCACAGUAACCACAGAAAUGUUUGUGUCAGCACAAUGGAGAGAAGUGCACAAACAAGACGAGGAAGGCUCCAGGGGUACAGGAACUCUGUCUGCAACCGUGCCACCAAUAUCCAACCACAUCUGAGCCAAUAGAUAGUGACAAAGUAUUUAUUGGUGUGUCUGGACUCAGCAGAGCGUUGGAAGGUAAAUUGAUAGUGAGAAGAAGGAUCUUGGUGCAUAUAUCCCUGCCAUUGUCAUUAGAAACAACAUGGAGCGGGAAAUGCACUGAAGAAGGAAUGUAACCAUGAAGCUGAAUUUAAAUACCGUGACCUACAUUUUCCAUGACUGGUUUCCUCAGUAUCUCCUUAAUUGCUUUCAUGCCCUGUUAAAUAAGUAGAUGAGAGUCCUGUUUAUUUUUAUGCGCUCGCUCUCUCCUAGACCUGGAUUCCCAGCAGGAUGUCCCAUGGGCUGAGCAGGCUCUGCUGAGCUGGGAUGUUUAUGGAAGGCCGUGUCUGCCACGUCCCAGCCCACAGCACACCGAGUGCCCAGCAGCUGUAAAGGCUGUUCAUACCGUAAGGCAUUUAUUAAGCACUGUUUGAACGUUCAAGGCAGGGAGAUGACAUUACUGAUGAAUUUAGGCUUUCUUUUUGCUCACUGAAUACUUGUGGUAAGGUUAUUUACUUCUUUUUGGUGCUAUUCAGAAGCAGUGGGGAGGUAAUUCUUUUGCUGCGUGCUUCUCCAAUGAUGUUGAGCAGUGCUGUGUGAUUAUAUGGGUUGUGCUUUGUUAAUUAUUACCACUUAGGAAAAAAAAGCACAUCACAUUGUUUCUGCACCGAGUGGGUGAGCACACAAGCACUUCCAGAACAAAUACCCAGCUGCUGAACUCUGAGGGCAUGUCCAUAUCACACAAUAGAGUGGGGCAGCACAUCCUCGGUUAAUGCUGAACAGACCAGCCCUAAAACUGGAAGCAACAGGGCUGUGCUAGCACAAGGCAACAUUUUUGCAACUAAGAAGGGAUUGUUAGUUGGAAUGUAACUUCGUGCUAACAGCUAUGCUGCUUUCAGGUCUGGGCCUGGUGUGGUUGUGAGGGCAAUUCCUAGCUGUCUGGGUGUACCAGGCUGGCUUCUCGACUGUGCUAGAAGGUAAUGGUAGAUCUAUACAUAGAAGCAUCGAAUCAUAGAAUCAUUUGAUUUGAAAGGGACUUUUAAGGCCAUCUGGUCCAACCCCCUACAGUGAGCAGGGACACCUACAGCUCCAUCAGGUGCUCAGAGCCCCGUCCAGCCUGACCUUGAGUGUCACCAGGGAUGGGGUACCACCACCUCUCUGGGCAACCUGUACCAGUGCCUCACUAUCUUUAUUGUAAAAAAAUGUCUUUCUUAUAUCCAGUCUAAAUCUCACAGUG
Molecule: long non-coding RNA, 2958 nt
Organism: Tympanuchus pallidicinctus (lesser prairie-chicken)
Lineage: Eukaryota; Metazoa; Chordata; Aves; Galliformes; Phasianidae
Exons: 5
Source: RefSeq, a predicted model, not a curated record